UAAUAAAUAUUGGUCAAUGGACGCAAGUCUGUACCAGCCAUGCCGCGUGAAGGAUGAAGGUCCUCUGGAUUGUAAACUUCUUUUAUCUGGGACGAAAAAAGCUCAUUCUUGAGCACUUGACGGUACCAGAAGAAUAAGCACCGGCUAACUCCGUGCCAGCAGCCGCGGUAAUACGGAGGGUGCAAGCGUUAUCCGGAUUUACUGGGUUUAAAGGGUGCGUAGGUGGAUUUGUAAGUCAGUGGUGAAAUCUCCGAGCUUAACUCGGAAACUGCCAUUGAUACUAUAAGUCUUGAAUUAUCUGGAGGUAAGCGGAAUAUGUCAUGUAGCGGUGAAAUGCUGAGAUAUGACAUAGAACACCAAUUGCGAAGGCAGCCCACUAAGCAAUGAUUGACGCUGAGGCACGAAAGCCUGGGGAUUAAACA
RNAcentral lists this ribosomal RNA (422 nucleotides) under uncultured bacterium. RNAcentral describes it as "bacterial SSU rRNA". It matches the Rfam family "Bacterial small subunit ribosomal RNA", at positions 355 to 774 of the family's 1533-position model. The record is from RNAcentral.